Molecule: long non-coding RNA, 489 nt
Filed under: Setaria viridis
Lineage: Eukaryota; Viridiplantae; Streptophyta; Magnoliopsida; Poales; Poaceae
Description: long non-coding RNA (SVIR_LNC002486)
Source: RNAcentral
ACGAAUUACAAUUUUCAUCAGCAGGUCGAGAUCUGCAUACUGCACGAAAGCAGAGAGAUCCGUAGUUGACGCACUGACAAAAAGAAGCAGGGAGAUCCGCAAUCACGUUGUCAUAGCACGUAGACCAUGCCGACCUCGAGCAGCGACGCCGGCGGCACGCGCAGCACCACGUCCGGGCCGCGGCAGUUCCGCCGCAGGAAGUUGUAGCCGACGCCGACGGCCAGCUUCUUCAGCACCGACGACCCCGGCUUAGUCUGCACGUGCGAGUGCCCCAGGAUGAACGCCGUCCCCGCCUCCCGCGCCUCGCACAGCUCCUGCAGCUCCUCCAGCACGCGCUCGUCCACGCCGGGGCUCCUCGGCGCCGCGCUCUCCACCGCGAACCUCACCUGCUUCUUAAUCGCCGGCGCCGCCGCCGCGAGCUCGAUCCCGUUCGCGCUGCCAGCGGCCUCGUGGGCCGACGACACGCCGUCGUGGGAGUCGUCGUAUCCC